RNAcentral lists this ribosomal RNA (497 nucleotides) under uncultured bacterium. Its description in RNAcentral is "partial 16S ribosomal RNA". It matches the Rfam family "Bacterial small subunit ribosomal RNA", at positions 28 to 507 of the family's 1533-position model. The record is from RNAcentral.
GAUGAACGCUGGCGGCGUGCCUAAUACAUGCAAGUCGAGCGAACAGAUGAGGAGCUUGCUCCUCUGACGUUAGCGGCGGACGGGUGAGUAACACGUGGAUAACCUACCUAUAAGACUGGGAUAACUUCGGGAAACCGGAGCUAAUACCGGAUAAUAUAUUGAACCGCAUGGUUCAAUAGUGAAAGACGGUUUUGCUGUCACUUAUAGAUGGAUCCGCGCCGCAUUAGCUAGUUGGUAAGGUAACGGCUUACCAAGGCAACGAUGCGUAGCCGACCUGAGAGGGUGGAUCGCCAAACUGGAACUGAAACACGGUCCAGACUCCUACGGGAGGCAGCAGUAGGGAAUCUUCUGCAAUGGGCGAAAGCCUGACGGAGCAACGCCGCGUGAGUGAUGAAGGUCUUCGGAUCGUAAAACUCUGUUAUUAGGGAAGAACAAAUGUGUAAGUAACUAUGCACGUCUUGACGGUACCUAAUCAGAAAGCCACGGCUAACUACGUG